CAACAAGCCCAGCGUCUGCAGGGCCUGGCACCCCCGCCCCAGGACACAAGUCACACACACCCGCGGACAAAGACGCCCCCACUGCUGCAUCUAGAGCGCACGCACGCACGCACGCACACAGAUUUACACCCAGGAGCCAUGGAUGACCAGUCAAUCCCAAAUCCUGACACCCAAGGAACCUGACCCAGCACCGCUCACAAUCACGCGGACUUCCUUGUUCAACAACUACAGCCUGGCAGACGCAGGGAACUAUGCGGGAAUCAAGCACUGGGGAUUCCCACACUCGCCAAGCUGACACCCUCUCUCCAACCUGUUCUCUCUGGAUUUCCUGAGCAAUGGGAUACUGGACCUCCAUCACCCAGGCCAGGCUUAACCUCGUUCCCCACACCCUUUCUUUGCACCCUAGCCACCCCUCUCCCCUGCCUCAGGGCCUCAACCUAAGCCCGUUCCCUCCCCUAGCAAUGCCUUUUCUUUUCCUUUAAGACCAAUUUCUACACAAACGUCGCCUCCUCUAGGAAGCCCUCCCGGGUCCUCAGGUUAGGUCUUGUGUGUCUUUUCUGUGUUCUUUGGUUUUCCUUAUCCUAAUCACAGACAGUCUGCAAUAAUACAUUUGGACAACGACUAGAUUGACGCCCCCUUCUGCCUGGAGACUGCUGGCUCCCUGAGCCAGCCUGUGCAAGCUUCCGGGCAUCCAUCUGGCAUGGAGGUCCCUGCAUCCCUGUAUCCUGUUCUGCUUCCUCAGCUCCACUCUCCAAACAGUUCAGCCCUCCAGCUCCACACUCCACACCCUGUGCUAAGGAGAUUUUUUUUAAAGAUUUACUUAUUUUUAAUUUAUGUGUAUGAGUGUUCUGCCUGCAUGUGUGCCUUCCUGGUACCCACAGAGACCAGGAGAGGGUGGUGGAUCCUGGCACCCAAACCAGAGACCUCUGUAAAAGCAAGUGCUCUUAAAUGCUGAGCCAUCUCUCCAACCCAGGAGCUGAUGUUUUUUAGCACCCGCCCUCAAGGUCUCAUGUAGUCCAGGGUGGCAUUAAACUGGUCAGUGGAGACUGACCUUGAACUUCUAGUCCUUCCCUAAGCACCUCCCCACUCUGGGAUUACGGGCAUGCACUACCAUGCCUGGUUUGUAUCCUGCCCAGGGUUGAAGCCAGGGUCUUGUGCAUGCCACACAAGUACUCCGCCAGCUUAGUUCCUCCCUAGCACCUCUAAUUUUUGCUACCAGUACUGAAGAUUGAAGUUGAAACCUCAUUAAUGCCAAGCAAGGGGCACGUGGGCUUUCUUCCUUUCUUCCUGGGGAUGUUGCUUGUUUGAACCUGGGUCUUCCCAUGUAGCUCAGGCUACCCUCGAACUCAUGAUCCUGCUGGGGAUGUAGCUGAGUACAAGAGGGCUUGCCUAGCCUGUGUGAGGUCAUGGGUCCAAUCCCCAGAAUCGCCCCCCCUUUUUUUUAAGUGCUGGGCUGGAGAGAUGACUCAGAGGUUAAGAGCACUGAUUGUUCUUCCAGAGGUCCUGAGUUCAAUUCCCAGUCACCACAUGGUGGCUCACAACCAUCUGUAAUGAGAUCUGAUGCUGUCUUCUGUGCAGGCAUACAUGCAGACAGAACACUAUAUGCAUAAUAAAUAAUAAAUCUAUUUUUUAAAUGUGCUUAUAACUAUUGCCUGUGCAAGAUGGCAUACAUCUACAAUCUCAGCACUUGGGAGGUAGAGGCAGGAGGCUCAGCAGUUCAAGGUCAUCCUCAACUAUCUAGUGAGUUCAAGGCCAGCCUAGCCAUAAGAAGCCCUG
This is a long non-coding RNA of Peromyscus maniculatus bairdii (prairie deer mouse), 1776 nucleotides long. RefSeq lists it as uncharacterized. NCBI's taxonomy places the organism in Eukaryota, Metazoa, Chordata, Mammalia, Rodentia, Cricetidae. The record is from RefSeq and is a predicted model, not a curated record.